This 434-nucleotide ribosomal RNA is filed under the name uncultured bacterium. Its description in RNAcentral is "partial 16S ribosomal RNA". It matches the Rfam family "Bacterial small subunit ribosomal RNA", at positions 29 to 507 of the family's 1533-position model. The record is from RNAcentral.
GCGAACGCUGGCGGCAGGCUUAACACAUGCAAGUCGAACGGGCUUCUUCGGAAGUCAGUGGCAGACGGGUGAGUAACACGUGGGAACGUGCCCUUCGGUUCGGAAUAACUCAGGGAAACUUGAGCUAAUACCGGAUACGCCCUUAUGGGGAAAGGUUUACUGCCGAAGGAUCGGCCCGCGUCUGAUUAGCUUGUUGGUGGGGUAACGGCCUACCAAGGCGACGAUCAGUAGCUGGUCUGAGAGGAUGAUCAGCCACACUGGGACUGAGACACGGCCCAGACUCCUACGGGAGGCAGCAGUGGGGAAUAUUGGACAAUGGGCGCAAGCCUGAUCCAGCCAUGCCGCGUGAGUGAUGAAGGCCUUAGGGUUGUAAAGCUCUUUUGUCCGGGACGAUAAUGACGGUACCGGAAGAAUAAGCCCCGGCUAACUUCGUG